This 362-nucleotide unclassified non-coding RNA is filed under the name soil metagenome. Its description in RNAcentral is "partial contains 5.8S ribosomal RNA, internal transcribed spacer 2, and large subunit ribosomal RNA". The stretch from base 1 to 120 matches the Rfam family "5.8S ribosomal RNA", at positions 35 to 154 of the family's 154-position model. The record is from RNAcentral.
GAUGAAGAACGUAGCGAAAUGCGAUAAGUAAUGUGAAUUGCAGAAUUCAGUGAAUCAUCGAAUCUUUUAACGCACAUUGCGCCCGCCAGUAUUCUGGCGGGCAUGCCUGUUCGAGCGUCAUUUCAACCCUCAAGCUCUGUCUUGCGCUUGGUGUUGGGGAUCGGCCCUGCCCGCCAGCCCGGGCGGGCCGCCCCCGAAAUGAAUCGGCGGUCUCGUCGCAGCCUCCUCUGCGUAGUAAUUCAGUUAUCCUCGCACUUGGAGCGCGGCGCGGCCACUGCCCGUAAAACGCCCAACUUCUCAAGAGUUGACCUCGAAUCAGGUAGGAAUACCCGCUGAACUUAAGCAUAUCAAUAAGCGGAGGA